Molecule: transfer RNA, 82 nt
Filed under: Longimicrobium sp.
Lineage: Bacteria; Pseudomonadati; Gemmatimonadota; Longimicrobiia; Longimicrobiales; Longimicrobiaceae
Also listed under: 1 other name
Description: tRNA-Leu
Rfam family: tRNA
About the family: Transfer RNA (tRNA) molecules are approximately 80 nucleotides in length. Their secondary structure includes four short double-helical elements and three loops (D, anti-codon, and T loops). Further hydrogen bonds mediate the characteristic L-shaped molecular structure. tRNAs have two regions of fundamental functional importance: the anti-codon, which is responsible for specific mRNA codon recognition, and the 3' end, to which the tRNAs corresponding amino acid is attached (by aminoacyl-tRNA synthetases). tRNAs cope with the degeneracy of the genetic code in two manners: having more than one tRNA (with a specific anti-codon) for a particular amino acid; and 'wobble' base-pairing, i.e. permitting non-standard base-pairing at the 3rd anti-codon position.
Source: RNAcentral
GCGCGCGUGGCGUAAUUGGUAGCCGCACCACGCUUAGGACGUGGCGCCUUCGGGCAUGUGGGUUCGAGUCCCUCCGCGCGCA